This 23-nucleotide small nuclear RNA is filed under the name Arabidopsis thaliana (thale cress). Its description in RNAcentral is "snRNA_10863". Lineage: Eukaryota; Viridiplantae; Streptophyta; Magnoliopsida; Brassicales; Brassicaceae. The record is from RNAcentral.
CCGUUGAACUUACAUGGGAAAAA